This 256-nucleotide ribosomal RNA is filed under the name uncultured bacterium. Its description in RNAcentral is "partial 16S ribosomal RNA". It matches the Rfam family "Bacterial small subunit ribosomal RNA", at positions 524 to 776 of the family's 1533-position model. The record is from RNAcentral.
GACAGAGGGUGCAAACGUUUGUUCGGAAUUACUGGGCGUAAAGCGAGUGUAGGCGGUCUGAAAAGUCGGGUGUGAAAGCCCUGGGCUCAACCCAGGAAGUGCACUCGAAACUGCCAGGCUAGAGUAUCGGAGAGGUUGGUGGAAUUCUCGGUGUAGAGGUGAAAGUUCGUAAGAUAUCGAGAGGAACACCGGUGGCGAAGGCGGCCAACUGGACGAAUACUGACGCUGAGACUCGAAAGCGUGGGGAGCAAACAGG